GAUGAACGCUGGCGGCGUGCCUAAUACAUGCAAGUCGAGCGAACGGACGAGAAGCUUGCUUCUCUGAUGUUAGCGGCGGACGGGUGAGUAACACGUGGAUAACCUACCUAUAAGACUGGGAUAACUUCGGGAAACCGGAGCUAAUACCGGAUAAUAUUUUGAACCGCAUGGUUCAAAAGUGAAAGACGGUCUUGCUGUCACUUAUAGAUGGAUCCGCGCUGCAUUAGCUAGUUGGUAAGGUAACGGCUUACCAAGGCAACGAUGCAUAGCCGACCUGAGAGGGUGAUCGGCCACACUGGAACUGAGACACGGUCCAGACUCCUACGGGAGGCAGCAGUAGGGAAUCUUCCGCAAUGGGCGAAAGCCUGACGGAGCAACGCCGCGUGAGUGAUGAAGGUCUUCGGAUCGUAAAACUCUGUUAUUAGGGAAGAACAUAUGUGUAAGUAACUGUGCACAUCUUGACGGUACCUAAUCAGAAAGCCACGGCUAACUACGUGCCAGCAGCCGCGGUAAUACGUAGGUGGCAAGCGUUAUCCGGAAUUAUUGGGCGUAAAGCGCGCGUAGGCGGUUUUUUAAGUCUGAUGUGAAAGCCCACGGCUCAACCGUGGAGGGUCAUUGGAAACUGGAAAACUUGAGUGCAGAAGAGGAAAGUGGAAUUCCAUGUGUAGCGGUGAAAUGCGUAGAGAUAUGGAGGAACACCAGUGGCGAAGGCGACUUUCUGGUCUGUAACUGACGCUGAUGUGCGAAAGCGUGGGGAUCAAACAGGAUUAGAUACCCUGGUAGUCCACGCCGUAAACGAUGAGUGCUAAGUGUUAGGGGGUUUCCGCCCCUUAGUGCUGCAGCUAACGCAUUAAGCACUCCGCCUGGGGAGUACGACCGCAAGGUUGAAACUCAAAGGAAUUGACGGGGACCCGCACAAGCGGUGGAGCAUGUGGUUUAAUUCGAAGCAACGCGAAGAACCUUACCAAAUCUUGACAUCCUUUGACAACUCUAGAGAUAGAGCCUUCCCCUUCGGGGGGCAAAGUGACAGGUGGUGCAUGGUUGUCGUCAGCUCGUGUCGUGAGAUGUUGGGUUAAGUCCCGCAACGAGCGCAACCCUUAAGCUUAGUUGCCAUCAUUAAGUUGGGCACUCUAAGUUGACUGCCGGUGACAAACCGGAGGAAGGUGGGGAUGACGUCAAAUCAUCAUGCCCCUUAUGAUUUGGGCUACACACGUGCUACAAUGGACAAUACAAAGGGCAGCGAGACCGCGAGGUCAAGCAAAUCCCAUAAAGUUGUUCUCAGUUCGGAUUGUAGUCUGCAACUCGACUACAUGAAGCUGGAAUCGCUAGUAAUCGUAGAUCAGCAUGCUACGGUGAAUACGUUCCCGGGUCU
Molecule: ribosomal RNA, 1372 nt
Filed under: uncultured bacterium
Lineage: Bacteria
Description: bacterial SSU rRNA
Rfam family: Bacterial small subunit ribosomal RNA
Source: RNAcentral